UUCAUAACUGAAAAAAUUAUGGACAUUAACAAACAAACAAAAAAAAAAGCCACUUCAGUGAGAAUAAGAGCACUCAAAGUGCCAUGCAAUCAUCCAGCAUCCCUCCUUGGUGAACAAGCUACUAUCCUCAACAUCUUUAGUAACCAGCAUACCAGCAUACCUCCUCAGCAUCAAGCCCAUCACCAUCACCUGUGGCAAUUCUUCCAAAUGAGGUCCUCACAAAAGAACAGACAUUGUUUUUAAUAGACCUGAUGCUGCAACACAUCGGGGCCGAAGGUGAUGGGCUCCCUAAAAGCCUGAAAGAACUUAACAACCAACUUAAAUCUGCCAAAACCAAUAAAAAACUGCGCUUCUGCCCUGAUAAAGUGGCCAGGAAAUGGAGCACCCUUGUUGACGGUUACAAGAAGGUAAAAGACAAUAACAGCAGUACGUGGGAAGGGAGCCAUGCGCUUCCAGUUCUAUGCUGAAAUGGACGACCUUCUGGGAGGACGACAUGAUGUCUUUCCUGUGGUGGGGACAUCGGAGAGACUAGAGGUGCGCCGACCUGAGGUGCUAGGCCAUUGCAGCAGUGGGACUACUAUAGCUAGCACUGCAUGCAGCUCUCCAUCCAGCCCACCUUCCACACCAAUGCAGUCACCAACACAGUCACGCAAGCGCAGAAGGGUGGACGAUGAGGUUCUGCAGUUUCUAAAAGAGUCCGAAGAAGCAAGUCGGCGGUGUUAUGAAGAGACACUUGCACAAUUCAGGUCUGCACAGCAGGGCUUUAAGUUGCUGUUGACCAGGUUGUUGGACAAGCUGUAAACCAAAAUUAUUUUGUAAUGUAAUUUUGUAAUUUUGUGUUUUAUGUUCUACUGUAUAUUUGUACAUAAAACUGUUUAACUUUUUUUUAUAUUAAUCUGUUACACUGUUAACCCAAAAGUUCAUUCUAUGCAAACAGUUUGAUUAAAUACCACUUUUAAAGAUUAGUUUUACUGCAUUACUUAAACAGUAUGAGUAUAUGAAGAGUGUAUGAGACAGUCAUUGGGUGUACUCAUUUUUGUAAGUUUAACAAACUUAAACUAUCAAGUUUUACCUCAGGUGACGGUGCUGCCCUGUUGUGAUUGGCUCAAAACUCAAGAAGAACAUUUGCCUGCCGUAAAGAGGAUACCAUUUCUGUCUGAAUAAGGUUGAUGAGUGAAGUUGUUUUCUAUAUUCAAGUAUUAUAAACUGCUGGAACAUUUCUAGUUUGAAAUGUGUACAUUUGAAUGUGUGUAAAUUUGACGUUGACAUUUUUAGUGUUGGACAAUUGCGACAAUUGUGAUUUUGGAGUGGUUCUCUCUACUUGUGUCUUUAAAUUUCUUGUAUUUUUUGUGUUACAUACAUUGUUGGAGCUAUAUUCUUAUUUUUGUUUAUUUUGGGUUUGAGUUAAUUUAUAGCCCAAUUUAUUUCUUUUCUUUUCUUGUUAAAGUUAAUUUGGUUUAUUUUGUAUUUAUGCUUUACUUGCAUUGUGGUUUGUUGGUCACAUGGUGUUAUGUUCAUUUGCAUAAGUAGGUCAAGGUGAGAGGUGCCGCAGGCACGAGGGCAUAUGGUUUUUUACCAGCGUGAGAGAGGCAGCAGAAAUGUCUGUGAGCUUGCUUAUGUGUGUGAAUAAACCUCCUCAAACUCAA
Molecule: long non-coding RNA, 1646 nt
Organism: Micropterus dolomieu (smallmouth bass)
Lineage: Eukaryota; Metazoa; Chordata; Actinopteri; Centrarchiformes; Centrarchidae
Exons: 2
Source: RefSeq, a predicted model, not a curated record